Molecule: transfer RNA, 65 nt
Filed under: Aporrectodea trapezoides
Lineage: Eukaryota; Metazoa; Annelida; Clitellata; Crassiclitellata; Lumbricidae
Description: partial tRNA-Val
Source: RNAcentral
CGAAGCAUAGCAUAUCUAAUGCUUUUUACUUACACUAAAAAUAAAACACGCUUGUUUGCUUCGCU